RNAcentral lists this ribosomal RNA (109 nucleotides) under Ochrovirga pacifica. The record is from RNAcentral. Lineage: Bacteria; Pseudomonadati; Bacteroidota; Flavobacteriia; Flavobacteriales; Flavobacteriaceae.
UAAGGUGAUUAUUGCAAUAGGGCUCACCUCUUCCCAUUCCGAACAGAGCAGUUAAGCCUAUUAGCGCAGAUGGUACUAGCAUUGCUGGGAGAGUAUGUCAUCGCCUUUU